RNAcentral lists this ribosomal RNA (269 nucleotides) under uncultured prokaryote. RNAcentral describes it as "partial 16S ribosomal RNA". It matches the Rfam family "Bacterial small subunit ribosomal RNA", at positions 524 to 792 of the family's 1533-position model. The record is from RNAcentral.
UACGGAGGAUCCGAGCGUUAUCCGGAUUUAUUGGGUUUAAAGGGUGCGCAGGCGGGAGAUUAAGUCGGCGGUGAAAUUUUGCAGCUCAACUGUAAAAGUGCCUUCGAUACUGGUUUCCUUGAGUGUAGAUGAAGUAGGCGGAAUUUGUGGUGUAGCGGUGAAAUGCUUAGAUAUCACGAGGAACUCCGAUUGCGCAGGCAGCUUACUAAACUACUACUGACGCUCAGGCACGAAGGCGUGGGGAUCAAACAGGAUUAGAUACCCGCGUA